ACGAACGCUGGCGGCAGGCUUAACACAUGCAAGUCGAACGGUUGUAGCAAUACAGCAGUGGCAGACGGGUGAGUAACACGUGGGAACCUUCCUAGGGGUACGGAACAACUCAGGGAAACUUGAGCUAAUACCGUAUACGUCCGUGAGGAGAAAGAUUUAUCGCCCCUAGACGGGCCCGCGUAGGAUUAGGUAGUUGGUGAGGUAACGGCUCACCAAGCCUACGAUCCUUAGCUGAUCUGAGAGGAUGAUCAGCCACACUGGGACUGGGACACGGCCCAGACUCCUACGGGAGGCAGCAGUGGGGAAUAUUGGACAAUGGGCGCAAGCCUGAUCCAGCAAUGCCGCGUGAAUGAUGAAGGCCUUAGGGUUGUAAAGUUCUUUCGCUCGUGACGAUGAUGACGGUAACGAGAGAAGAAGCCCCGGCUAACUUCGU
This 433-nucleotide ribosomal RNA is filed under the name uncultured bacterium. RNAcentral's name for it is "bacterial SSU rRNA". It matches the Rfam family "Bacterial small subunit ribosomal RNA", at positions 29 to 506 of the family's 1533-position model. The record is from RNAcentral.